RNAcentral lists this ribosomal RNA (253 nucleotides) under uncultured bacterium. Its description in RNAcentral is "partial 16S ribosomal RNA". It matches the Rfam family "Bacterial small subunit ribosomal RNA", at positions 524 to 776 of the family's 1533-position model. The record is from RNAcentral.
UACGAAGGGUGCAAGCGUUACUCGGAAUUACUGGGCGUAAAGCGUGCGUAGGUGGUUCGUUAAGUCUGAUGUGAAAGCCCUGGGCUCAACCUGGGAAUGGCAUUGGAUACUGGCGACCUAGAGUGCGGUAGAGGGGUGUGGAAUUCCCGGUGUAGCAGUGAAAUGCGUAGAUAUCGGGAGGAACAUCUGUGGCGAAGGCGACACCCUGGACCAGCACUGACACUGAGGCACGAAAGCGUGGGUAGCAAACGGG